CUCUUUGUGCUCAUGCUUGCUUGUUUUUACCUUAUUUCGUCAAAUGCAGGCUAUGCAGUUCUUGUUUCAAGGCUCAACAAUCUCCCUAAUAUAAGAAGAGAAAUUGUAGUAACCAGAAGAAUGCAACAGUAUAUAUUAAACGAUAAAAUGGAGGACGAUUUUAUCAAGGGUAGGAUGGAUUUUGAGAGAAACGAUUAUGGACCACCGUCAGCUAAUCCAAUCCACACCCCACCACCACCUUGAUGAUGCCAAGUACACUGCAUAGUACACCUGUGUACAAUAAUAUGUCCAUAUGAUAUUGAUGGCAAUUUCGGAUCUAUACCUUCAAUUAAGAGGAGAGCUUCAUCAGCUAACAUCUAUCCAGUGUAAAGCUCCAUGUAAAGGGUUGGUCAGUUAGUAGGCUAAUUUCUGUAUUCUGUUACACAGAAAAGUCAGAACCUGGUGGUCAGUGUAAUAAACUUCUCAUCUAAUGCUAGAUCUUCUGCUUUAUAAUAA
This is a long non-coding RNA of Chenopodium quinoa (quinoa), 495 nucleotides long. RefSeq lists it as uncharacterized. The transcript has 3 exons. NCBI's taxonomy places the organism in Eukaryota, Viridiplantae, Streptophyta, Magnoliopsida, Caryophyllales, Amaranthaceae. The record is from RefSeq and is a predicted model, not a curated record.